Molecule: ribosomal RNA, 443 nt
Filed under: uncultured bacterium
Lineage: Bacteria
Description: partial 16S ribosomal RNA
Rfam family: Bacterial small subunit ribosomal RNA
Source: RNAcentral
CCUACGGGGGGCUGCAGUGGGGAAUAUUGGGCAAUGGGCGCAAGCCUGACCCAGCAACGCCGCGUGAAGGAAGAAGGCUUUCGGGUUGUAAACUUCUUUUCUCAGGGACGAAGCAAGUGACGGUACCUGAGGAAUAAGCCACGGCUAACUACGUGCCAGCAGCCGCGGGAAUACGUAGGUGGCAAGCGUUAUCCGGAUUUACUGGGUGUAAAGGGCGUGUAGGCGGGAAAGCAAGUCAGAUGUGAAAACCAUGGGCUCAACCUGUGGCCUGCAUUUGAAACUGUUUUUCUUGAGUACUGGAGAGGCAGACGGAAGUCCUAGUGUAGCGGUGAAAUGCGUAGAUAUUAGGAGGAACACCAGUGGCGAAGGCGGUCUGCUGGACAGCAACUGACGCUGAGGCGCGAAAGCGUGGGGAGCAAACAGGAUUAGAUACCCUGGUAGUC